Molecule: long non-coding RNA, 1791 nt
Filed under: Homo sapiens (human)
Lineage: Eukaryota; Metazoa; Chordata; Mammalia; Primates; Hominidae
Description: HSALNT0138309
Source: RNAcentral
AGAUGGAGUCUCACUCUGUCACCCAGGCUGGAGUGCAGUGGUGCGAUCUCGGCUCACUGCAAUCUCCACUUCCUGGGUUCAAGCGAUCCUUCUGCCUCAGCCUCCUGAGUAGCUGGGACUACAGGCAGGAGUCACCAUAAUUUUUGUAUUUUUAGUACAGACAUGGUUUCGCCAUGUUGGCUGGGCUGGUCUCGAACUCCUGACCUCAAGUGAUCUGUCCUGGCCUCCCAAAGUGUUGGGAUUACAGGCAAAAGCCACCUUUCCUUACAGACGAAAGCCACCGGUGAAAGCCGGCCAGGGAAAUAUGCAAAAGAACAUCACAUCAAGGAUCUAUUACUUACCAUCUAUUAAUUACUAUAUGUGGGUAAUUAUGACUAUUUCCCAAGCGUUGUACGUUGACUGCUUGAGAGGAUGUUUGUUCUGCAUGGUGGAGUGUGGAGAAGGGCCAGGAUUCUUAAGUUAAUCUAUCUGUGGGUUAUGACUUCCCACAAUAGCCACCCUGGCCCCUACCAGCCCUUUUAUUGGCUCUGGAUGGAAAAUCCCUACCCAUGUGAUGGUCCCUGGUCUCUCCUAUAGUUUGACCAACAGUUGACCCAAAAGGUUAUGGUCUUUAGUGUUUUAAUUAUAUCCACGACUAGAUACUGGGGUCUGUGUUCUUCAAAGUGUGGGGCUGCCUAUUCUCCCAGGAACCAAAUGGCCUCCGUCUUAAGAAAGUAUGCUUAACUAGGAAAUAUCCUGCCUACCUUAGGAAUAAAUGCAACUUAAGGAAAAAAUAAGAGAGCUAAAAAAGCUGGUGCCAUUUGAAAAAAAAAGGGGAAGGAAUGAGAUUUAACUGGUGCUCAAAGCUUCUUCGAUACAAAAUAUUUGGUCAUGUAUUCAUAAUUUGCUUGACAUUUCCAGCAAAGCUAAGAUGGCAAUAACAAAAGGAACUUCUUAAAAGAGAAGAGAAAGACCGACGGAGCUCCGGAGUUUCUGUUGGAACAAGACUCUUCUGUUUUGCUUAUAUACAGUUAAGUUCGUUUAGUGUCUGAUCCAGUGUCUGAUGUAAGCCCACGUUCUCUUCUUUGGCCUGGGCAAGUUUCUCUUCCAGGUCAUCAAUUGUCUUUUCCAGUUUUGCAACCGUUCUCUCUGCAAAUUCAGCACGGGUCUCAGCCUCUUUCACUUUGUCAGACAGAAGUUUAAUUUCUUCUUCAUAUUUGUCCUCCUUUUCAGAAUACUUUUCAGAUGCAGCUUCCAGCGAUUUCAGAUUGUUAGUAACAUUCUUGAGUUCUUUGCCACGUCACCACAUUUUAGUUCGGACACCUCCGCACGCAUCUCUGCACGCUCCUCUGCCCUCUCCAGCUCACCCUCCAGGAUGACCAGCUUACGAGCUACCUUCUCGUAUUUGCGGUCAGCCUUUUCCGCAAUGUGCUUGGCCUCUUUGAGCUGCAUCUCCUGAAUCUCCAUCUUCUCCUCAUCCUUCAUGGCCCGGUUUUCUAUCACCUUCAUUCCUCUUUCACUCUCAUCUGCAACUUUUUCUGCCUCCUCCAGCUUCUGCAGGGCUGUGGCCAGUCGUUCCUGAGCCCUGUCCAACUCCUCCUCAACGAGCUGGAUGCGUCGGUUGAGGGUGGCCACAUCACCUUCAGCUUUCUCGCGCCACUCGCGCUUGCCGUCCAGCUCCCGCUGCAGGCCCUGCGCGGUCUUCCGCCUCGUCCGCCUGCUACUGCAGGGGCCUGGAUCUUGCAUUUCACCGCCUCCAGGGAGUUGAGGUGGCGCGGAGGCGCGGAGGCACGGAGGCGCGGAGGCGCGGAG